RNAcentral lists this ribosomal RNA (675 nucleotides) under Bacillus sp. AT-MI-24. RNAcentral's name for it is "bacterial SSU rRNA". It matches the Rfam family "Bacterial small subunit ribosomal RNA", at positions 56 to 712 of the family's 1533-position model. The record is from RNAcentral. Lineage: Bacteria; Bacillati; Bacillota; Bacilli; Caryophanales; Bacillaceae.
UGCAGUCGAGCGGAUGGAUUGAGAGCUUGCUCUNAUGAAGUUAGCGGCGGACGGGUGAGUAACACGUGGGUAACCUGCCCAUAAGACUGGGAUAACUCCGGGAAACCGGGGCUAAUACCGGAUAACAUUUUGAACUGCAUGGUUCGAAAUUGAAAGGCGGCUUCGGCUGUCACUUAUGGAUGGACCCGCGUCGCAUUAGCUAGUUGGUGAGGUAACGGCUCACCAAGGCAACGAUGCGUAGCCGACCUGAGAGGGUGAUCGGCCACACUGGGACUGAGACACGGCCCAGACUCCUACGGGAGGCAGCAGUAGGGAAUCUUCCGCAAUGGACGAAAGUCUGACGGAGCAACGCCGCGUGAGUGAUGAAGGCUUUCGGGUCGUAAAACUCUGUUGUUAGGGAAGAACAAGUGCUAGUUGAAUAAGCUGGCACCUUGACGGUACCUAACCAGAAAGCCACGGCUAACUACGUGCCAGCAGCCGCGGUAAUACGUAGGUGGCAAGCGUUAUCCGGAAUUAUUGGGCGUAAAGCGCGCGCAGGUGGUUUCUUAAGUCUGAUGUGAAAGCCCACGGCUCAACCGUGGAGGGUCAUUGGAAACUGGGAGACUUGAGUGCAGAAGAGGAAAGUGGAAUUCCAUGUGUAGCGGUGAAAUGCGUAGAGAUAUGGAGGAACACCAG